This 468-nucleotide ribosomal RNA is filed under the name uncultured bacterium. Its description in RNAcentral is "partial 16S ribosomal RNA". It matches the Rfam family "Bacterial small subunit ribosomal RNA", at positions 28 to 507 of the family's 1533-position model. The record is from RNAcentral.
GACGAACGCUGGCGGCGUGCUUAACACAUGCAAGUCGAACGGAAAGGCCCUGCUUUUGUGGGGUGCUCGAGUGGCGAACGGGUGAGUAACACGUGAGUAACCUGCCCUUGACUUUGGGAUAACUUCAGGAAACUGGGGCUAAUACCGGAUAGGAGCUCCUGCUGCAUGGUGGGGGUUGGAAAGUUUCGGCGGUUGGGGAUGGACUCGCGGCUAAUCAGCUUGUUGGUGGGGUAGUGGCUUACCAAGGCUUUGACGGGUAGCCGGCCUGAGAGGGUGACCGGCCACAUUGGGACUGAGAUACGGCCCAGACUCCUACGGGAGGCAGCAGUGGGGAAUAUUGCACAAUGGGCGGAAGCCUGAUGCAGCAACGCCGCGUGCGGGAUGACGGCCUUCGGGUUGUAAACCGCUUUCGCCUGUGACGAAGCGUGAGUGACGGUAAUGGGUAAAGAAGCACCGGCUAACUACGUG